AAAAAUACCUGGCAGGGAAGAUACCAUGAUCACGAAGGUGGUUUUCUCAGGACGAGGCUUAUCCAUUGAACUCUGUAUGUGUUGAUCCCUGUGAGUUCCCCAAAUGUGGGAAACUCGGCAGCAUAAUUUGUGGUAGUGGGGUACUGCCUUUGCACUUUCCCCUG
Molecule: small nuclear RNA, 164 nt
Filed under: Carlito syrichta (Philippine tarsier)
Lineage: Eukaryota; Metazoa; Chordata; Mammalia; Primates; Tarsiidae
Description: U1 spliceosomal RNA (ENSTSYG00000028425.1)
Rfam family: U1 spliceosomal RNA
About the family: U1 is a small nuclear RNA (snRNA) component of the spliceosome (involved in pre-mRNA splicing). Its 5' end forms complementary base pairs with the 5' splice junction, thus defining the 5' donor site of an intron.
Source: Rfam by way of RNAcentral